UACGUAGGGUGCAAGCGUUGUCCGGAAUUAUUGGGCGUAAAGAGCUCGUAGGCGGUUUGUCGCGUCUGCUGUGAAAACUGGAGGCUCAACCUCCAGCCUGCAGUGGGUACGGGCAGACUAGAGUGCGGUAGGGGAGAUUGGAAUUCCUGGUGUAGCGGUGGAAUGCGCAGAUAUCAGGAGGAACACCAAUAGCGAAGGCAGCUCGCUGGGACGUUACUGACACUGAGGCGCGAAAGCGUGGGGAGCGAACAGGG
RNAcentral lists this ribosomal RNA (254 nucleotides) under uncultured bacterium. Its description in RNAcentral is "partial 16S ribosomal RNA". It matches the Rfam family "Bacterial small subunit ribosomal RNA", at positions 524 to 777 of the family's 1533-position model. The record is from RNAcentral.